RNAcentral lists this ribosomal RNA (1241 nucleotides) under uncultured Dinobryon. RNAcentral's name for it is "partial Bacterial small subunit ribosomal RNA". It matches the Rfam family "Bacterial small subunit ribosomal RNA", at positions 237 to 1510 of the family's 1533-position model. Lineage: Eukaryota; Chrysophyceae; Chromulinales. The record is from RNAcentral.
AAAAUUAGGUAGUUGGUUUUUUAAUAGUCUAACCAAGCCUUCGAUUUUUAAUUGGUUUUAUCGAAUGGCCAGUCACACUGGAACUGAAAUACGGUCCAGAUUCGAUUUGAAUCAGCAGUGGGGAAUAUUGGACAAUGAACGCAAGUUUGAUCCAGCAACAUAACAAAAUUAAGACGGCUUUUGCUGAAAAAUUUAGUUUUUUUAAUUAAAAAUGAUUUAAUUAAAUUACAUUCAGUUCUGUCAAAUACUCGUGCCAGCAGACGCGGUAAUACGGGAAGAGCAAGCGUUAUCAGGUUAAUUUGGCGCAAAGAGUUUGUAGAUUGUAAAAUAAGUUUGUUGUUAAAGUUUAAAAGUUAAUUUUUAAAAAAACAUUAAAUACUAUUUUACUUGAGUUUUAUAUGAAAAAAUGGAAUUUUGAACGGAAAGGUAAAAUUUGUAGAUAUUCAAAGGAACACCCACAGCUAAUGCAAUUUUUUAAUAAAAACUAACAUUGAGAAACGAAAGUUAAGGUAGCAAACAGGAUUUGAUACCCUGGUAGUCUUUACUGUAAAUCAUGAGUGCUAAAAUUUAAAUUAAAACUUUAGAUUUUUAAGUUUGCACAAUAAGCACUCCGCCUGAGAAAUAUAGUUGCAAAGCUGAAACUCAAAGGAACUGACGGGGGCUAUACUAGUGGUGGAGCAUGUGGUUUAAUACGAUAAUCCACGUAAAACCUUACCAAUUUUUGACAUUUUAAUUUUAACUAGUUAGUUAAUUAAAACAGGUGCUGCACGACUGUCGUAAGCCCGUGUCUUAAGAUGUUUGGUUCAUUCCUAAAACGGGCGUAACUCCAAUUUUAUAAAUUAUAAUUUAUUGAAUUUUUAAGUUUUUAGUUUAUUACACUAAAUUUUAAUAGUUUAAUUUUAUAAUUGCAUUUAAUUAUAAAUUAAAAUAAAAGGAAUAAAGAUAAGUCAAUGUGACCCUUAUAAAUUGGGCCACAACAUGUGCUACAAUGAAAACCACAAAAAAUAAAGACAAUUUAACAAAAAAAGUUUUCUUAGUCCGGAUUGCAAACUGAAAUUCGUUUGUAUAAAGCUGGAAUCACUAGUAAUCACAAAUCAUAAUGUUGUGGUGAAUAGUUAUUUGCCUUGUACACACCGCCCGUCACAUGCAAAAAGUUAGUUUUAUUUGAAGUUUUAAUAUUAUUAAUUCAAUUUUAAAACCAACAAUUUGGAUGAAGCCGUAACAAGGUAGCUGUGUGUUAA